CUUUACGUUUCUCAAACGCAACUCGAGGUACAUGAGGAAUCAGGACGCACGGCUACAGCAGAGAAAAUUAUUAACUACGAAAGACGGAUUAGAAACAGUUUAGUUUCUCUUGACUCUGUGUUUCGAAAGAAUUCUAACUGUGUUUUAAGCUUUUAUCCAGACUUUAUUUCCAUGUGUUUGAAACCGACCAUCGAAACCUUCACUUGUGAGAUGUCUGUCGGAGAAGCAAAUAUGGAUCCUGAAAACGUCGUUUUAAAGCCGCAGAAACGAAAGAAAUUACGAAGACUUAAGAAAAGGAAGUAUUUUACUCCUCUGGGUUUCGACUUAAUGCAGGAGAACGGGAGACCGAUGAAGCAAAGGAGAACAAAAACCGCCGCGCCUCAGAAUACCACGCAAUUCAUCAUGGAGGAUAAGGAGGUGACCGAACCGUUUUAUGUAAUUUCUUCUCCUUCCACUUCACCAGUUAGUCACUGUACAAGUUCUCCAGGGUCAGUACGAGGUUCACCUUUAUCGGACAGAGACUUAGCUUUCGAUUCUACUGAAGAAGAUCUCGUUCGCGAUUUCGAGGACCUUGAUUUCGAUUUGGAUUUUUUCCAAAAAGAUUUCGAAGCCACAUACAAUCGUAUUCAGGAGGAAAGCUUAUUGGAGCUCUCUAAAAUCGAACUUGUUAAUAAGUUUAGAGAGCUUGAAGGAAAAGGAGAGAUUCUUCAAAAACGUUGUGAGGAAAUUGGAAGAGUCGGCACUCAUGGACAGCAAAAGUCAUCUACGGCAAAAAAUUCGUAUGUUGUAUCACCAAACGCUUUUCCCGCUCCUGCCGAAAAAUCACAGGACGAAAGUACUUUGCUUUGUUAUCUGGAAGAGUUACGGCGUGAAAAUAAAUCAUUGGUGGAAGAAAAUUUGAGGUGAUGUGUGGUGCACUUGGGUCAUGAAUGAUACCAGUGGCAUUGCCUGUGGAUUACACCACACACUCCAGAAUUAAAGGACAACUGAUACUUCCUUCCUAUCAGCUGAGUGUUGGUGGAUGGAACCUGGAGUGUCCAUUACCCAAACAACACCUGCUGCUCAGAAACAGCUAAGUAUGAUCUUGCUGUUGUUCUCUUGGAAGUGGCUCUUCCGUAAUGGGUAGUGGGUUUAUCUGAAAAAGGGACCUUGGUUCAUUUGAAAUUGUUUGUAUGUGAAAUCCCGUUCAAAACUACCCAGUCAUGAAGCUUCUGUUGUUUCUCAAUUCCAAGGUCAUGUUAGACAGAACAAAUCUGUGAAUGUGUUAUUAGAAUGAUAACAUUUUCCACUUUCACCUCAUAGCAAGAUAAGUAAAUAUUUGGUCCAUAGUGCAACUUGCCUAGAAAACCCCAUGGAUCUGCUAUCAGCAACUCUAUUAUGUGACAUGUUUAUUUCACAAGGGAAGAACUGAUGGAAAUUUGGCGUGCAGGGAGGGGGUGUUAUUAUGUGAUUGUGCUGUAUUUGCUUUGUUACAGAAUUGGAGAGGGAAGAUUUGGAUAUGCAGCCCUUUGGCAAGAUUGUGUUGAAAUUUUGGUGAAAUAUGACAUUGAUUUACCUCUAAAUGGCCUGUGUUAUCUCUGAAAGAUAAGAAAAAUAAAUGAAACAGUGUUCUUAACUGA
This 1619-nucleotide unclassified non-coding RNA is filed under the name Pocillopora damicornis (cauliflower coral). Its description in RNAcentral is "protein HEXIM-like, transcript variant X1". Lineage: Eukaryota; Metazoa; Cnidaria; Anthozoa; Scleractinia; Pocilloporidae. The record is from RNAcentral.